This 73-nucleotide transfer RNA is filed under the name Laccaria bicolor S238N-H82. Its description in RNAcentral is "tRNA-iMet (CAT) (tRNA-iMet-CAT-1-1)". The record is from RNAcentral. Lineage: Eukaryota; Fungi; Basidiomycota; Agaricomycetes; Agaricales; Hydnangiaceae.
AGCAGCAUGGCGCAGCUGGAAGCGCGCGGGGCCCAUAACCCCGAGGUCACUCGAUCGAAACGAGUUGCUGCUA